RNAcentral lists this ribosomal RNA (482 nucleotides) under uncultured bacterium. RNAcentral describes it as "bacterial SSU rRNA". It matches the Rfam family "Bacterial small subunit ribosomal RNA", at positions 29 to 497 of the family's 1533-position model. The record is from RNAcentral.
AUUGAACGCUGGCGGCAUGCUUUACACAUGCAAGUCGAACGGUAACAGGGAGCUUGCUCCGCUGACGAGUGGCGAACGGGUGAGUAAUGCAUCGGAACGUACCCAGUCGUGGGGGAUAACGUAGCGAAAGUUACGCUAAUACCGCAUACGUCCUGAGGGAGAAAGCGGGGGACCGAAAGGCCUCGCGCGAUUGGAGCGGCCGAUGUCGGAUUAGCUAGUUGGUAGGGUAAAGGCCUACCAAGGCGACGAUCCGUAGCGGGUCUGAGAGGAUGAUCCGCCACACUGGGACUGAGACACGGCCCAGACUCCUACGGGAGGCAGCAGUGGGGAAUUUUGGACAAUGGGCGCAAGCCUGAUCCAGCCAUGCCGCGUGAGUGAAGAAGGCCUCGGUUGUAAGACGUCUUUCUAGGUGGAAGAAAGACGGCAUGGGUCGAAGUACCCUACGUGUGGAGUGACGGUACCGAUCAGAAGAAGACACCGGC